AUCAUUUUGUCUGAACCAUCUUCUUCUUCUUUCUUUAUUUCUUUACUUCGAUCACUAUUUUUCUUUUCUGUAGAAGAACAUGAAUUCUUCUGUAUUUGUAUUCCAAUAUCCCCCUCAAAUUGGAGGGUGGUGAAAUUACCCCCAAAUUGUUAAGCAAUGAUCGAUGAGAAACCCCAGAUAAGGGUUUGGAGAAAAUAUCCGCAAUUUGAUGCUCCGAAGGGACGAAAAAAAGAGUAAUCCAGCCAGAAAUGAACUGUUGAUGUACAAAAUGACAAUCCAACUCCACGUGCUUCGUCCUUUCGUGGAAAACUGGAUUUUUAGCGAUGUGAAUCGCCACCUGGCUGUCGGAGUGUACAGUAAUGGGAAAAUUAUGAGGAACUAAAAGAUCCUGAAGAACUCGUACCAACCAGGAAAUAGGAGCACCACCGAGUGUCAUAAAAUAUCCACUCAUUGAACGACGAGAAUCGUUACAAGAUGCCCAAUCAGUAUGGCAAAAAGCCAACAAAUCAAAAGAGAGGUCGGAAAAUAAAAGGAUGCCCUGUCCUGGAUCAUUUUUCAGGUAUCUCAAAACUCUUAAAGAUACUGAAAAAUGUGCUUCACGAGGUUGUUACACAUACUGACUAAGUGUAAAGACUGCAAAACAUAAGUCAAGUCUAGUACGUGUCAAGUAGUUAAGCUUUCCUAUCAAAUGUCUAUAAAUGGUAAGAUUAGAUAUAAGAGGUCCAUCACUGCCAUUUAGUUGAGAAUAUGGAUUAAUAGGAGAGGAGACUUUAGCACCUGAGCAAUCAAAAUCUUAUAGAAGGUCUAAAGUAAAUUUUCUCUACUUGAUAAUGAAACUUUGUUUUUCCCUUAGAAUCUCCAUACUUAGUGUUGACAUCUAAUUUUGUCCCACCUUUCUUCCGAAAUACCUAUUUUUCACUUCCAAUAUUUUGGCAACUUUAAAAAAUAAUUAUUUGCAUUUUUUACUAUAAUUAUUAGCUUUUAUUAAUACCGGCAUUUCAUUAUCCUGUUGUAGUCACUACUGUUAUUAUCUUUUAUUACCGUUACUACUACCAUUAUUAUUUUAUUGUUAUUGUUAUUAUUAUUAUUAUUAUUAUUAUUAUUUUAUUACCAGUAUUAUUAUAAUUCACAUUUUUUAUCAUUUCAGCACUUUUACCAGCUUAUGCACACGCAUCGCAUUUAUCUUCGCAUAAUUUAAUAAUAGCGUUUACUUACUGUUGAAUUUCAAAAUAUUAUUGCACAACUAUUGCGAUGUCAUAUCAUGUUAUUUUCAUCUGAGUACUAACAAAUACAUACUUUAUAUUAGGGGAUAUUUUAGCACACUCAGUAUAUGAUUAAUUGAAAUGGGUCUCUUAUUUAAAUCUAGAAGCCAAACUAUUUUCAUCCAGCCCAAUAUUUUAAAAUAUCCAGCCCAAAUCAGUUAACCCAUUAUUUUCAUCCGCCGAGCCCACAUUUUCAGCCAAUUCAGCCCAAAAGAAAAUUGACCCAGUCCAUUAACCCACGACCCGGCCCAAUUCUCAUUUUAACAAAAAUAAAACCCCUAAGGGUUUCAUCUUUUUCUCCUCUCAGCCGCACACCCCCCUUGCUCCUAGCUCUCUUCUCUCCCUCUUUCAUCGUCCUCUUCCCCCCCCCCCCCCCCACUUCUCCCUGUUCCCCACGCCUGUCUCUCCCACUGCCCUCUGUCCCCCACUUCUCUUUGUCCCCCCGCUCCUCUCUCUCUUCUUCACAAACGAAAAACCUAUAAAUCUUGGUUCUCUAUAAUAGAAAUUCUCUCUUCUUUUAGCCGCCUGAAAACUACAUAGAAUUUAGAAGCUUUUUGUUUUAGCCGCACAAAAUCCCAAAAAGUUUUAAUGCUCAGUAGUGGUGGCAGUUUCUGAAUCGAGUAAAAAAUCCGAACAUCGCAAGCUUGGAUUUGAUAGUGUUCGAGUAGAUUGGAAACCCUCCGCACCCACUUCGCUGCACCCGAAGAAGGUCAGUGAAUCUUCUCUUUUUAGUUAUCUUGAAUUUAUAGUUGUUUCCCCGCUUAGCUGUGUUCUAGGAUGGUAUGGUGGUGGCUUUUAAUUACUAGUUCAAUAUCUGCUUAUGUGUGUUGGUUGUCAUUCUUGUUUAGUUAUGUUCGUUAAUGGUUGCAAGCAUGUUUAGGCGCAUUAGCUUUUUAACAUUGUUUCGGGUGCAGACGUAUUGUAUUGUUUAGUUGGUAAUCUUCAUCUCCUUUUAGUUUUAUUAUUUUCUUAUGUGCGUUUUAAUUCUUGCUCGUUUGUUUCGAUUUCUCGCUUAAUAUAGUUGGUUAGUAUUCAACAGUAUGAUCUCAUGUUAGCUGCUUAAAUGGUUUGCCUCCAUGUUUCGUGUUAAUGUUUUAAGGUAGUUUGAAGUGUUAGUUUCAUGUAUAUUUAGCUGCUAGUCUUUAUCCCAUUAUGUCUAUGAUUCAAGUAUAGUAGUGUAGUUCAGAGCAGCUUGAACUAUUAAUCUGUUAUUUUUUUGAAGUAUUAAUCUGUUAGGAAGUAGAUCUCUGUAGCAUGUUCUGUGUCUAUCGUUCGCCAUAUUUAUCGAUUACAUACUAAUCUUUUUCCUUUCGUUUUUAUGCAUGACCACCGCGUGCGAGUCCGAGGAACUCGUCUUCUUCCGCAUUCGAUGUUGGGCCAAAGCCCAAUGAAACAUUCUAUCGAGUCAGCCCCAUCAGCUGUGUAAAAUGAUUCGGGGCCGAGACCCAUAACAGCAGCAACAGUGCACAGCAAUUGGCCUGAAAUGGGCCGAUCCAUUUAAUUCCUUUCCUCCUCUAUUUUAUGCUCUGUUGUGCAUUUUGCUUUGGUAUUGAAUGACUAACGCUUUUCCUUGUUUCGUUUUCUUAACAUUAGAUGAAUCCUAACGGAUUAGUGGGGAUGAUGUUAAUAAUAACGGGUAGUUAAAUUUAAAGGAGAAGCCAAUAGUUAAUUCCCUAGGUUUCAGUUUUUAUGUUAAAAUUAUUUAAAGUCUUCUCUUAUGCAAAUUAUUAUAUUUUCUCUAAAUCUUAUUUUAAGCAACAUUCUUAUAUUUUCCUUAAAACCUUAACAACCUUUCUUAGCCCUUUUUUUUUCUUAAAAUUCAAAGCACCUUAUUUAGCAUUAAUUAAUUAACCUAAGUUUUGCCGGAUAACCGUAGUUAACGGAUUCUGAAGGAUGCCUAACCCCUUCCCUUUAGGAUAAUAUAGAACCCUUACCUAGAAUCACACUGAUUAAGCAGACUAUUAACAGAGGUUUAGUUAGCUUUACCUUAGUUAAUAAUUAGGUGCCCUAAUUCACCUUAAAAUCAAUUAGGUGGCGACUCCCUUAAAUAAAGCGAAAUAGGAAUCUCCAAUAUGUUAUGCUCUAAUUUAACCCGGUUUAAAAUUGGGUAUAACACUUAGGAAAUAAUUAAUAUCCCCUAAAUGUUUGACUCUGAAUUCAUUGUUGAGAAAAGUAGUGAUCUGAGAGAUUUCAGGAUGAUCAUUUCCUGUGAUCAAAAUGUCAUCUACAUACACUGCUAUUAUAGAAACUGAAUCCUGAGUACCCUUGAAAAACAAUGAAUAAUCAUUCAAAGAACUAGUGUACCCCACCUAGUUUGGCAUACCAUUGUCUGGAUGCUUAUUCUACCAUUGUCUGCAUGCAUGUUUUAAUCCAUAUAGAGAUUUCCUCAAUAAGCAGACCUGCUUAGGAUUAGAACAAUGCCUACCUACAGGAAACUCCAUAUAAACUUCUUCUUGUAGAUCACCAUGUAGAAAAGCAUUACCCACAUCUAAUUGGUGCAUUUGCCAUCCCUUUUUAAUAGCAACAGUGAGGAGACAUCUGAUGGUGGUCAUCUUGACCACUGGUGAAAAGGUCCUAGUAUAGUCCACUCCUUCCUCUUGAAUGCCCCCCCCCCCCCCCCCCCCUCCCUUCCCCGACUACUAAUUUUAGUCUUUCAAUUGUCCCAUUUGUCUUAUGCUUUACGUUGUAAACCCAUUUACAAGGUAAUGCUUUCUUUCCUGGUGGCAAUUCCACAAUGUCCCAAGUAUGGUUUAGUGCAAGUGCAUCAAGUUCUUCUUGCGUAGCUUGUUUCCAUCCUUCAUAAGUGGAAGCUUGAGCAAAAGAUUUAGGUUCAGGAAUGGUAGAAAUAUAAAGUAACACUUGUUGGUUAUUUAGUAAUAGUGAACUGAAGGAAAAGGAUGUAGGUUGUGUAGGAUGGAUGAAACAAGCAUUAGUAAGGUCUGUUAAGUGAAUAUUGUUGCAUAUGUAGUCAUCUAGAUAACCUGGUCUAUGAUUUAUUCUACCAGAAGUUCUUGUUUGAGUAGGAGGUUCAGAAGAAGGGUUGACAAAGGAAAUAUCAUGAGGAAUAGAAGAAUAUGUGGUAGUUAUUGCUGGAGAUUCAUCCAGUCUAGGGAUAGAAUGAAGAUUAUUUGGUGUAGAGAAAGGAGAAAGUGGAUGUAUAACGGGAGAAUUGACAGUAGAAGAUGAAGGAAAAGAAGUAGAAAUAAAUUGAGAGGGAUCUGAAACAAGUGUAGAAUGAGAUUGAGUGAGUAAGAAAGGGUCUGAAUAUGUGGAACUAUAAUGAAUUGUAGGAAAGACUGUUGAAUUAGAGUUCGAAUAGAAUGCAAAAGGGAACUGAUGUUCAAAGAAUUGAACAUCUCUUGAGACAAAAACUUUCUUGAAAACCAAUUCCAUUAACUUGUACCCCUUCUGUCCUUGGGGAUAUCUUAAAAACACACAAGCAACUGCCCUAGGAUCAAAUUUAGUCUUGUUGUUAGACAAAGCAGAUGCAUAGCAUAAACAACCAAAACUCCUUAAAUUGUCAUAUUUGUGCUUGUUACCAAAUAGAACCUCAUAGGGAGUCUUCCAUUUAAGAACCCUUGACGGAAAUCUAUUGAUUAAGUGUGUUGCUGUCAAAAAGUCUCCCCAGUGUGAGUUGGGUAAAUGAGAUUGAAACAUCAGUCCUCUUGUAAUUUGUAAGAGAUGUCUAUGUUUCCUCUCACUAUCUCAUUCUGUUGGGGUGUACCUACACAAGAAGUUUGAUGUAUUAUACCUUGAGACUUGAGGAACAAGCUCUCUUGUGUUUCUUUGCCUAAUUCCAUAGCACUGUAAGACCUGAUCAUCUUCACUUUUACAUUGAACUGUUUCUUAAGCAUGACUAGAGAAUCGUUUAGCAUAUGAAAGCAUUGCUCAUAGCAGUUAGUAAAAAUGUUCAGUGUCUCUACUAUAGUCAUCCACUAUGGUGAGAAAGUAUUUGUAUCUAUUGUAAGUGCAACAUUUAUAUGGACCCCAGUGUCUAUAUGAAUUAGAUCAAAAGGCUUUUUAGUAUGAAUCUGACUUAGAGGAAAAGGCAGUCUAGUCUGUCUUGCCUUAGGGCACACAUCACAAACAUGUUGAAAUUUAGAAGGGAAAUAAAUGAAAUAAAAAAAAUCAUUACUGAGUAAGGAACAUGUCCCGAACUUACAUGCCAUAAUGCUAUACUAGGAACCACAUUUGCUGAAAUUGGAAAUGGAACUAAAUUUGACAUGGAAAUGAAACUACAUUUUCAUUUGAAACAUGCUUAGACCUAAGACUAGCAGGCUGAAAUAGGUAGAGACUUCCCUCGCUUGACCAAAAGCUUGAGUGUUCCUCAUUAAAGGACCAUGUAAGAUACAACCACUAGAAGUGAAUAACAUAUCACACUUAUAUAAAUAGCGCAACUUGUGAACAGAUAAUAAGUUAUACUUGAAAUCUGGAAUAUAAAGGACAUUUUUAAGAGUUAUUUUAUGCAGAAUGGAAAUACUUCAUGCAUGAGUCACAAUAAUCCUGAAAGAAUUAGGUAAAGUGAUACUUAUAGGCAUAAGAAGGGGGUUUAAAUAAAUAAAAGACUUAGAAUCAAAGCGCAUAUGUUCUGAUCCACCUGAAUCAAUGAUCUAGGUGAAGGCGUUAAAAACUGAAAGACAAGUUCUUGAGUACUUUAGGAUUGCACCAGCUAUUGCUCCUACAUUAAAUCCACCAUUUGGAGCUCCUGCUUGUCCCAUCUUUACUUCCAUAAGAACCUUUUGAACUAGUUCAGCAUACUGAUCCUUACUCAUGCCUUGACUGCAACUACUGCUUGAUGCAUCCCCUUGUGUAAUGAGUGGAGUUUCUAUUUCUUCUUUAGCCAUAACCCCAUUUGUCUUUCCAUGAUACUCCUUAGACUUUGUAAACUCAAAAUCAGCUGGAUACCCAUGAAGUCUGUGACAAUCGUCUUGGACAUGUCCUAUUUUUCCACAAUAUGUAUAGCUCACAUUUGGAUUAUACUUUGAUAUUCUUGGUUUGUUCCUUUGAAAUCUCUAACUGGUCUUUGUGUGUUGACAAUAAAUUUUUGCUGUGUUUGACCAUGUCCUCUCAUUCCUUGAUGCCCAUUUCUUUGAUAUGAUUUUCCUUGUGAUGUUACCAUGAAGGAUCCAGAUCCAAAAUCAUUUGUGUAGUUGGCACUCACAUACACUUCUCUAUGAUUUUCAUCUUGUAGUAAUAGAGAAUAAGCAGUGUCCAUGCUAGGCAAGGGGUUCAUCAUCAAUAUGUUUCCCCUUGCCUUUGAAUACACAUCAUUUAGGCCCAUAAGAAACUGUAUAAGUCUUUGAUCCUCUAAUGAUUUUAUUGACAUAGUUUUACCCUCACAAGUACACACACAAGUGCAACAUAUAAUUGGGUUGAUUGAGUCUAAUUCAUCCCACAGUCUUUUUAAUUUAGUGAAGUAACCUGCUACAUCACUGUUUGCUUGGAUUAAUCCUGAAAGUUCCUUUUGAAGAUGAUACAACUGUGCACCAUUAGUUUUUUCCAAAUCUGCUUUCUGAACUAUCCCAUAGUCCUUUGGCUAUUUUAGAGUACAUCACACUAUCUGCAAUGUCAUUUGUUAAAGAGUUUAUCAGUCAUGCAGUGACCAUGUCAUUGCAACUGGCCCAUUAUUCAUAGUCUACAUGAUUCAGAUCUGGUGGUUUACAACCUCCAUUGAUGAAACCAUGUUUUUUCUUGGUUGACAAAGCAAUUAAAACAUAUCUUAUCCACCCUGGAAAUCCUCUUCCAUAAAAAAUGGUAUUGAUGAGAUUCAUUCCAGGUGAAUUUGAAGAAUUGAGAUAGUAAGGAUGAGAGUGAUCAAAUUUAGUAGCAUUCACUGUAGUAGCUACAAUGCUUUCAGUGCUUGUAUUGUUUGUACUCAUUCUAUAUUGUGACUGAUGUUAAAAUUAGGAAUUUGAUAAUGUAAAAGGUUGAUUUGAUGACCAGAAAAUUGGAUCGAGCUACUACUCUGAUACCAUGAAAGAAAACAAAGACAUUUUUGGGAAAUUUUCUGAUACUUGUAUUGAUUUCAUCACCUUCUAUAUGUAUAUGUAAUUUGUGCAAUAAAUAAAUAAUAAAAGAAAAUCUGCCUAUACACUUGUCAUUCUAUGAUUUGUACAUUAUGUAACUAAUUUUGAUUCCCUCACAUGCAUUACAGGCACAUGAAGGAAGCUUCUUAGCUCCUUCCUUUAUCUCCAGCUGCCCUUGAUCAGACGGCUGAGAUUCCAUCCCAUCAUUUUUAUCAGGGGCUGUGAUUUGUCCACGUAGACAAAGGACAAAUACUUUGUGUACCUAGGCUUCAUCGAAGCCUCAAUCAUUUUGUCUGAACUGUCUUCUUCUUCUUUCUUUCUUUAUUUCGAUCACCAUUUUUCUUUUCUGUAAAAGAACAUGAAUUCUUCUGUAUUUGUAUUCCAAUAAACUAAUCAAUAAUAAUCACAAGGUCGUUCGAUUUCAAAGAAA
This is a long non-coding RNA of Lycium barbarum (goji berry), 7718 nucleotides long. RefSeq lists it as uncharacterized. NCBI's taxonomy places the organism in Eukaryota, Viridiplantae, Streptophyta, Magnoliopsida, Solanales, Solanaceae. The transcript is spliced from 2 exons. The record is from RefSeq and is a predicted model, not a curated record.